CGUAGGGAAACCGAGUCUUAACCGGGCGUUAAGUUGCAGGGUAUAGACCCGAAACCCGGUGAUCUAGCCAUGGGCAGGUUGAAGGUUGGGUAACACUAACUGGAGGACCGAACCGACUAAUGUUGAAAAAUUAGCGGAUGACCUGUGGCUGGGGGUGAAAGGCCAAUCAAACCGGGAGAUAGCUGGUUCUCCCCGAAAGCUAUUUAGGUAGCGCCUCGUGAAUUCAUCUCCGGGGGUAGAGCACUGUUUCGGCUAGGGGGCCAUCCCGGCUUACCAACCCGAUGCAAACUGCGAAUACCGGAGAAUGUUAUCACGGGAGACACACGGCGGGUGCUAACGUCCGUCGUGAAGAGGGAAACAACCCAGACCGCCAGCUAAGGUCCCAAAGUCAUGGUUAAGUGGGAAACGAUGUGGGAAGGCCCAGACAGCCAGGAUGUUGGCUUAGAAGCAGCCAUCAUUUAAAGAAAGCGUAAUAGCUCACUGGUCGAGUCGGCCUGCGCGGAAGAUGUAACGGGGCUAAACCAUGCACCGAAGCUGCGGCAGCGAACGUAUCACCCAAGACAACUUUACGGAGUUGACGAUUGACGGAGCGAAGCGACGUCAAAGCGUUCAUUAAAGUCGAGUUGGCUUAGGGAUACGUUCGUUGGGUAGGGGAGCGUUCUGUAAGCCUGUGAAGGUGUGUCGUGAGGCAUGCUGGAGGUAUCAGAAGUGCGAAUGCUGACAUAAGUAACGAUAAAGCGGGUGAAAAGCCCGCUCGCCGGAAGACCAAGGGUUCCUGUCCAACGUUAAUCGGGGCAGGGUGAGUCGACCCCUAAGGCGAGGCCGAAAGGCGUAGUCGAUGGGAAACGGGUUAAUAUUCCCGUACUUGGUGUUACUGCGAAGGGGGGACGGAGAAGGCUAUGUUGGCCGGGCGACGGUUGUCCCGGUUUAAGCGUGUAGGUGUGUGUUCCAGGUAAAUCCGGUUCACUUUAACACUGAGGCGUGACGACGAGGCACUACGGUGCUGAAGCAACAAAUGCCCUGCUUCCAGGAAAAGCCUCUAAGCAUCAGGUAACACGAAAUCGUACCCCAAACCGACACAGGUGGUCAGGUAGAGAAUACCAAGGCGCUUGAGAGAACUCGGGUGAAGGAACUAGGCAAAAUGGUGCCGUAACUUCGGGAGAAGGCACGCUGACACGUAGGUGAAGUGAUUUACUCAUGGAGCUGAAGUCAGUCGAAGAUACCAGCUGGCUGCAACUGUUUAUUAAAAACACAGCACUGUGCAAACACGAAAGUGGACGUAUACGGUGUGACGCCUGCCCGGUGCCGGAA
Molecule: ribosomal RNA, 1311 nt
Filed under: Salmonella enterica subsp. enterica serovar Typhimurium
Lineage: Bacteria; Pseudomonadati; Pseudomonadota; Gammaproteobacteria; Enterobacterales; Enterobacteriaceae
Description: partial 23S ribosomal RNA
Rfam family: Bacterial large subunit ribosomal RNA
Source: RNAcentral